UCACUAUGCAGAUUAGGCUGGCCUUGAACUCACUUUGUAGCCCAGGCUGGCCUCGAACUCAAAGCGAUCCUCCUGCCUCAGCCUCCCGAGUGCUGGGAUUACAGGCAUGUGCCACCAUGCCCG
Molecule: microRNA precursor, 123 nt
Filed under: Chinchilla lanigera (long-tailed chinchilla)
Lineage: Eukaryota; Metazoa; Chordata; Mammalia; Rodentia; Chinchillidae
Description: miRNA (ENSCLAG00000021322.1)
Source: RNAcentral